GACGAACGCUGGCGGCGUGCCUAAUACAUGCAAGUAGAACGCACAGUUUAUACCGUAGCUUGCUACACCAUAAACUGUGAGUUGCGAACGGGUGAGUAACGCGUAGGUAACCUGCCUGGUAGCGGGGGAUAACUAUUGGAAACGAUAGCUAAUACCGCAUAAUAUUGAUUAUUGCAUGAUAAUUGAUUGAAAGAUGCUAUUGCAUCACUACCAGAUGGACCUGCGUUGUAUUAGCUAGUAGGUGAGGUAACGGCUCACCUAGGCGACGAUACAUAGCCGACCUGAGAGGGUGAUCGGCCACACUGGGACUGAGACACGACCCAGACUCCUACGGGAGGCAGCAGUAGGGAAUCUUCGGCAAUGGACGAAAGUCUGACCGAGCAACGCCGCGUGAGUGAAGAAGGUUUUCGGAUCGUAAAGCUCUGUUGUAAGAGAAGAACGGGUGUGAGAGUGGAAAGUUCACACUGUGACGGUAUCUUACCAGAAAGGGACGGCUAACUACGUG
RNAcentral lists this ribosomal RNA (505 nucleotides) under uncultured bacterium. RNAcentral's name for it is "partial 16S ribosomal RNA". It matches the Rfam family "Bacterial small subunit ribosomal RNA", at positions 28 to 507 of the family's 1533-position model. The record is from RNAcentral.